RNAcentral lists this unclassified non-coding RNA (233 nucleotides) under plant metagenome. RNAcentral's name for it is "partial contains small subunit ribosomal RNA, internal transcribed spacer 1, and 5.8S ribosomal RNA". The record is from RNAcentral.
UUUCCGUAGGUGAACCUGCGGAAGGAUCAUUAUUGGAUUUUGAAACUUCAGGCUGCUGCUGGCUCUCCUCGGAGGGCAUGUGCACGCUUGUUGUCCAUUAUUACUCCCACUGUGCACAAAUUGUAGACCUUUCAGUAGGCCUAUGUUGUUUUUCACAAUCUCUGAAUGUAAUAGAAUGGUUUUGAAUCUUGGGAAAUACAAUACAACUUUCAGCAACGGAUCUCUUGGCUCUC